GUGCUCACUUCGGCAGCACAUGUACUAAAAUUGGAACAAAACAGAGAAGAUUAGCAUGGCCCCUGUGCAAGGAUGACACAUAAAUUCAUGAAUAACAUGGACUUAGC
Molecule: small nuclear RNA, 107 nt
Organism: Vulpes vulpes (red fox)
Lineage: Eukaryota; Metazoa; Chordata; Mammalia; Carnivora; Canidae
Source: Ensembl